Molecule: ribosomal RNA, 471 nt
Filed under: uncultured bacterium
Lineage: Bacteria
Description: SSU rRNA
Rfam family: Bacterial small subunit ribosomal RNA
Source: RNAcentral
AGGAUGAACGCUGGCGGCGUGCCUAACACAUGCAAGUCGAACGUCCUGUCUCGCAAGAGGCAGGGAGUGGCGGACGGGUGAGUACCACGUGGGUCAUCUACCGUGAGGUGAGGAAUACCGGCGAGAAAUCGCCGACAAGACCGCAUAGGCUCGAUGCAAGUCGAGCAAAGCUCUUUCGAGAGAGGGAGCGCCACACGAGGAGCCUGCGCCCGAUUAGCUAGCUGGUGGAGUAACGGUUCACCAGGGCGACGAUCGGUAGCUGGUCUGAGAGGACGAUCAGCCACACUGGGAUUGAGAACGGCCCAGACUCCUACGGGGGCAGCAGUGAGGAAUUUUCGUCAAUGGGGGCAACCCUGAACGAGCAACGCCGCGUGCAGGAAGAAGGUUUCGGAUCGUAAACUGCUUUUCUCGGGAAGAGAACGGACGGUACCCGAGGAAUCGAGCCCCGGCUAACUACGUGCCAGCAGCCGU